UGGGGAAUAUUGGACAAUGGGCGCAAGCCUGAUCCAGCCAUGCCGCGUGGGUGAUGAAGGCCCUAGGGUUGUAAAGCCCUUUCAGCGGGGAAGAUAAUGACGGUACCCGCAGAAGAAGCCCCGGCUAACUUCGUGCCAGCAGCCGCGGUAAUACGAAGGGGGCUAGCGUUGCUCGGAAUUACUGGGCGUAAAGCGCACGUAGGCGGCUUUCUAAGUCGGGGGUGAAAUCCUGGAGCUCAACUCCAGAACUGCCUUCGAUACUGGAAAGCUCGAGUCCGGGAGAGGUGAGUGGAACUGCGAGUGUAGAGGUGAAAUUCGUAGAUAUUCGCAAGAACACCAGUGGCGAAGGCGGCUCACUGGCCCGGUACUGACGCUGAGGUGCGAAAGCGUGGGAGCAAACAGGAUUAGAUACCCUGGUAGUCCACGCCGUAACGAUGAUAACUAGCUGUCGGGGCUCUUAGAGCUUCGGUGGCGCAG
This 477-nucleotide ribosomal RNA is filed under the name uncultured Pseudomonadota bacterium. Its description in RNAcentral is "bacterial SSU rRNA". It matches the Rfam family "Bacterial small subunit ribosomal RNA", at positions 355 to 851 of the family's 1533-position model. The record is from RNAcentral. Lineage: Bacteria; Pseudomonadati; Pseudomonadota.